Long non-coding RNA from Syngnathus acus (greater pipefish), 1524 nucleotides. RefSeq lists it as uncharacterized. The record is from RefSeq and is a predicted model, not a curated record. The transcript has 3 exons. Lineage: Eukaryota; Metazoa; Chordata; Actinopteri; Syngnathiformes; Syngnathidae.
CUUUGAAGCCAAGCAAGCGAGCGAGCGAGAGUGUGUGUGAGUGAGGGGAAACAAAGAGAAAACCACAAGAAGAAUCCGUGGCCAUUCAUCAUUGCUGUAGUGGAGGGGAAUUGGUCGCAUACUAAGUUUCCCUGUCUGCAGCCGUCGAGUAGCUAGCAGAUGCUUUCUGGAUGAACUUCUUGACGUGACAAAAAGUCUAGUACAGAGUGCCUAGCUAGCUCCUGGACAGUCUGCAGUACGUUCAAAUUCUGCUUCCAGAGUCGUACAUCAGCAAGUUCCUGAUUGUCUUCAAGAUUCUCCUAAAGAAGCACUUUGUUCGACUCGGUUGUGAAUUUCGUCAUGAUGAAGGCGGGAACGCCGCCAGAAGCCCACCUGCUGCCGCGUCAUUGGCUGCUGAGUUCUGGAAGCGUGAACGAGGCGGAGCCAAAGAAGGAGGAGGUGUGGAAUUAGGUGUGCGGAGGAGAAGCAGCAGGAGUCAGGAUGCAAAGGAAAGGCCAAGAGACAAUGAAGCGCGCUGAUGAAGAGGAGGCAGAGAAAGAGGAGGAGGAGGAGGUGCUGACUCCAGACAGAAUGCCAGCUGGGAAGUACACGAGGACGCACGCGCGCGCUCGCGAGGCUAAGGAGUGCGCGUUGCGCACGCGCGAACCUGUGAUCGAUAUGAUACACGCUGACGUAAAUACGCCCUUCCACACAACUAUCUGUCCGCGUGAAAACACGCUGAUAGGUGGCGCUCCAAGUGAAUUGCCUGACAAUUGUUUUGGCCACUUAGAAACAAUGUUCGUUGUUUUCUUCUUAAACAUAUAAGCAAUUGUAACAUAAAGCAGACUUUAAAAGUCAUUAACAGUGUGCUUUGAUAUAGGGCAAUCAAAAAGUACCUAAAAAGGAUUCAAUUCGAAUGUAUUGCACAUGAAAAUCAAAUCAUUUCCUACUCAAAUGUUUUGGGUUUUCAAGAUUAAAUACAAAUAAUCAAUAAAUCCAGCUCAAAAGGAAAUGAGCUCUACAACUCACCUGUAUUCAUUCAUAUACUCAAGCAGGCCCAUGCAUGUGCCACAAGCACUCAUAAUACGAACAGAUUUCACUUCUCCCACAUUCUCUUUAAAACUAAUGCAAACAAAUUUCUACACACCCACAAAAAAUGGAAAUAUAAAUGAUUGAAAAUGUUGACCUCCUCUAUCCUAACAGGCCUUCAACAUGCCAGUUAAUCUAUGGUGACUUGAAUCAAUUUCCGUCGCCAGGGUGGAAGUACGUGGUUGUCUCCUCACAUCCCACUCGGGUAGUGUUAUUGUGAAUGUUUUAUUGCAUGGGUUCUGUCAAAUCCUUUGUUAUUGCUGCAGAUGUUGUCGAAGCGCUAACAUGCAAACAUUGAAAUGCUAACAGAGUAUAACAAGAUAGAAACAAAUGUGCAAAGGCUGAUGGAUAAGGCUUUCAUAUCUUUAGCUCUGUAUUGAGAAACUAUUUCUGAAGAAAACUGCAGAAAUGCUAUGCCGUGACUAUAUGCUAAUAAAUAGCAAGAUGGCAACCUGA